CUUUUUCUUUUCCUUCCUUCUUUCUUUUUCUUUCAAACAGUGUCUCACUAUUAGCCCAGGAUGGCCUCAAACUUUCAAUUCUGUCUUCACCUCCCCAGUGCUGGUAUUACAGGCACGAACCACUACACCCAACCAUUUUUCUUCCUUCCUUUUUUUUGUCUUUUUUUCUUUAAGACAAGGCCUUACUAUGUUGCCCACGGUCCUGCCUCUGCCUCCCAGGUGGCUGGGACUACACGUGUGCACCACUGCACCUGACCUGGCAUCUACAUUUCUUAUCAUCUUUGAGCCUUGGCUGACCUGUGAUGUGAGAGCAACCCUUAACACCCACAGAGGCCAGUUGGCAGCCAGAACAAAGAACGAUGGUGCUGCUUGAUCCCAGCAUGUGGAAGGCUGAGGCGGGAGAAUCACCAGUUCAAGGCCAGCCUGGGUUGCAUACUCUUAUCUUUAAAAAAAUCAAAGAGAAAAAGGACCAGGCACCAGUGGCUCACGCCUAUAAUCCCAGCUACUCAGGAGGCAGAGAUCAGGAGGAUCACAGUUCAAAGCCAGCCUGGGCAAAUAGUUCCUGAGACCCUAUCUCAAAAAAAACCAUCACAAAAAAGGGCUGGUGGAGUGGCUCAAGGUGUAGGCCCUGAGUUCAAGCCCCAGCACCACAAAAAAAAAAAGAACCAACCACCCUCUCACCCUCCUAAAAGAAGGCCUGACAGAGGCUCAGUCUCUCGGCUGAUUCAGAGUGUCAGUCAUUCCACACAGUCACAGUGGAGCAGGCGCCUGCCCAUGGGCCACCCAACAGGUGAGCCAGGCCCACUUGGCCCAGGUGGGGCCAGUCACCAAGCCACCCGUCUCCAGCCCUGCCCUGUGCACUCCUCCCCGUGCAGGCGCCCAAGGGCUCAGACAUCUGUGGGGCAGGGCUGCCUCUGGGACGCCCCGUCUUGCUCCCCCAGGACCUUCCAGGAGGCACCUACAACCAGGCCAGGGGACAGGGGCAGCCGACCCUGAAAUA
RNAcentral lists this long non-coding RNA (1000 nucleotides) under Castor canadensis (American beaver). RNAcentral describes it as "lncRNA (ENSCCNG00000015299.1)". The record is from RNAcentral. Lineage: Eukaryota; Metazoa; Chordata; Mammalia; Rodentia; Castoridae.